This 7209-nucleotide long non-coding RNA is filed under the name Homo sapiens (human). RNAcentral describes it as "non-protein coding lnc-MARCKS-1:9". Lineage: Eukaryota; Metazoa; Chordata; Mammalia; Primates; Hominidae. The record is from RNAcentral.
GAGUGCAACAGCUGAUCCCUUUCGGAGUGGAGUUUCCUAGCUGGUGCCUGUCCUCUCUUGAGCCUUUGUUUCUUGAGUGAGCACUCACUGGGGCUGUGGCUCCAUGAACUGGAUUUCAGGAAACCAGCCAAGGCAUUCUCUCUCUCUCUCCAUUCCUAGAAAGGCAGAAAGCCUGGGAAUGGGUUCGGCAGGAAGAUCUCUGUACCUCAAUCUCCAUUGCUUUCAGCACCACUGGCUUUCUCCCCAGCUCAAGUGCAAAACCUGCCAUCGUUGCUACCUGGGGUGCCUCAGACUCACCCAAGUCCCCCAGGCCAGAGGACAUGCUCUCAAGCCUUGUUUCAGAAAGAGGGACCCAAAGGCUGUUAGGGAAGAGAACCAGGGUCCUCAAACCCAGGGUUUUCUCACCCACUGCCUCUGCUCUGGCUGUGGCCUGCCAGACCUCUCCUCUGAUUUUCGCUUUCCUUCCUGCCAGUGCCUUUGUUUAUCCGAGGCGCCAAGAUCCCACUGUGAAGUCUGAAAGGAAGACCAGUGGUUCUCGCUUUUCCUCUAGAUGCUGUGUCUCCCAAUGUCAUCUUCUUUCCUCUCAAAGACAAUUGGACGUUGUUACAGAUUUUCUUGGAAUGAGUAAAUACCUAGCAGUGGGAUUGCUGGAUCAUAUGAAAAUGCCAGACUAUAUUUCAUCAGCAACAUCGGAGAGUUCCAGUUGCUCUACACCCUCACUAGCACUUAAUAUUGUUGAUCGCUGCCUGGAUUCACAGAAGGACAAAUUACAAUGCAUUUUGAAAGACUCGUCUACAGUCAACUAAAAUACCAGUUAUCACAGACUUCACUGGCCUUAAUGAGGAGGCUGAGAGGGAUUUAAUUACUGGGACAUGCAACGCUUACACCAAACUCUGUUCGAUUCACGACUUGGAAAAGCAAAUGUGGAUACAGAUGAGUGUGGACAUGGCUUCAGUAGGAAAUGUCGAGUUUGUUCAUCACUCUGAAGUUUCUUCAGCUGCAACGGAAACUGCACCCUCCCUCCCGACUUGUUGGUUAUCUUGCUGUGCUCCCAAGAAGGUAUUUUCUGCUGACCUGAUAGAUCAGGUAAGAGAAUAGCAAUGUGUCUUUUGUCAUCUGCCUCCAGUUCCCUGGCUGCCUGCAUUGCUGUGUUUGUUAUCUGUGGAUUGAAGGUGACACCACUCUCAAGGAGGGUGAAGGCAGAGGUGUAUGCACAGCUAGUACCAGUAACACCCCUAGAGUGAGCCAAGAGAAGAUGAGGUAAGGAGGAAAGGGAGACUUAGUCAUGGGCCUAGGAAAAAGCGUGGGGGGUUACCUAUGUAGAAGGUAUGGAUGGUGAAGCUGGAUCUCUUUUUACCUGUGGUGAGCACACCAUACCGGACAACCCAGGGCCUACAUUAUAGAGGGUGCACUCUGCACAUGCAAUGCAUUUUGUCAACAGAAAGCUCUGUGUAAAAGUCUUAAAGCAACUCUUUAGAAAUCCUGUUUCAUUAUUAAUUUAGAAGGAUUCAAAUAGGAAAUGUGGCAACAGCUGUAAUGGGUAUUAAAAGCCCCCACUGGCAGUGCUGGGUCUUAGCUGCCUCCAGUGGUGAUCCUCUUCAAAUAAGGAAUCUUGAGCCAAAAAUCCACCCUUCCUGUUAAAUAAGUGUUCAUACUCAUUAUUUUAUUAUAAAAGUCAUAAUAGCUUGACAGUACGGCAAAGGACAGUGAAAGAUAAAUGCACAUAAGUAGUAUAAUGCAGUAAUUAAGAGCCUGGUAAAAAUCUCAACUCUGUCACUUAAUAACCUAAAUCACUUAAUAGCUUUGUGCCUCAAUCUAAAAUACUGAUAAUAAUAACAGUAAUAAUGUUUGCCUUCGUGAUGUUGUUGUGGAGAAGAAACAAGUUAAUAUAGAUAAAGUACUUAACAUAGUAUCAGGCCAACAUAGGAUCAUAGCAAGAGGAAGCAUUCAAUAAUUAGUUGUGGUUGGGUUAUCAUUAUUGUUGUUGCUAUUGUUGUUAUUAUGACACUAACAUCUACAACUUUCUGUAUUUCAUCUGUCAACAAAUAUUUCAAUAUCAAAUCUGAUCCUGCUCCUUGACUCAGACCUUUGUCAUUUUGAUUGAAAAGAUGUUUACCUGUUGGUCCCCAGCCUCACUCUUCUGAACCUCAGAUCCACUGAGUGUGUAUCCAGAGGUAAGUAUGUGGUAAGUAUGCUUGUCAUUUACAUUAUCUGUCAGCAUGAGUAUUGGUUUCCUAGAAACCUAAUAUUGAAAACACUUAGCAUUGCUAAAAGCAUUAAAUGAAAUAAAGACUCAAUAUAGCUGCACUAAUCUGUGCUUUCUAAAUUUACUGAUGGACGUGAAGAAAGUAGGUUGGCAUGGAGUUUAUACAAUUUAUGGAUCACACUGAUCUGAAUUCAGACAGUGUGUGCUCAGAUAAAAAUAUUGUUUCCUCCCAUGAGGUUUCCAAUUUUGCAGAGAAGAAUACCUCUGUUUAGCUCAUUACUUAACACAAUGGGUAGCUGGGUGGCCUUGCAUUCUGGAAGUGAAAUGACACAAGAAUGUCUCCACUGCAUUCUCCAGAGGUAAAGAUUCUCUGGCACAAAAUCACAACCAAGGUGGGGUUCCAAAACUAUAGAACAAAUGGCAGCAGCCAUGCAGCCAGCCUUGGUUCGGGUGGGCUGUAAAAGCAGAGGUUGUCCUCGUGUUAUCAGCACUGACUUCCUGUUGUGGCCACACUGACAGAGAUGAGAUGGCAGAAAGCAGGAAAGAGACCAGAGCUGCAAUUGACAGAUGGCUGGCCAAAGUUGAAGGGUCAGAGACUACACCAAAGACUUCUCAGAAAAUACUUGCCUAGGAGGCUCUCACUUGGAAAGAUAUUCAGGGUUGUUAAACAUAUCCUGUUAUUAGGAAAACGAGAGUUUUAUCUUUCUCUUACUCAGAAAGAAAAAACAAAAAGAAAAUUAGUGCUCUUAAGAAAAGCUAUUUUAAUGUUAUCCAUUAUAAAAUUAGAAAACCUUGAAAGGCAAAUGUUUCUUCUGACCAUUUACACUGAGCUUCUUUCAUUAUCUCAUAUGCAACCUUGUGGAUUGAAGGUGGAGAGUCCUUAGGAUUACCCAGGAACAUCCCUGUCUGCUCCCCCUGCUAGGCAGGAGGAGAUUUGAAACCACAUGUGUCUACUUCAUUUCUGUCACGGGUAGGACAGUGUCAUAUACUUUGUAGGUAACUCAAAGAUAUUAUAGGUAACUCAUAGAUAUUGAUUGAAUUAAUGUUUAAUAAAAUGAGAACACCAGCUCUGCUGUUAUCAUCAUCCUCAUUUCGAUUCGCUGAACUCUGCACCAAGGCCAAAUACAUUAUACUUUAGGCUUUGUUAAAGCCAUCUAUGUAAAGCUGGCUGAAGUCGAACUGUACAGUAAACAAGAGAUGGUAAUAGUCUCUGCAUGUGUUAUUUCUUUCAACUCCAAACCUCAAAGCAUUUUAGGAAGAAAUACUAUUUCAUCUUUAAAAAAAAAUAGAAAAAAGAAACUUCUGAAAAAUUAAUGCAAUCUAAAUAAUAGUCAUUAAAAAGUAAAUUAUGGUAAAAUGGCAUACUAUGCAGUCAUUAAAGAGACGAUGUUGCUCUAUACUUAUUUACAUAGAACAUUAUCCUUGGGAAAAAAACUUAUUUAAAAAAUAGAAACAGUUUAAAAUAUGUUUAAUAUAAUGCCUUUCGUAAAAAAAAAUGUAUGGGUAUAUGUGUAAAAAUGUGUAUGGGUGUGUGUGUGUUUGUAAAUAGGAAAUAAUUGGAAGAUAUUCAACACAAGUUUCCAUGGAUGAGAUGGGAGGCAGAUGAUAAGUGAUAUUUGUUUCUAUAUUGUAUGUAUUACUACAUUUUCUGUUUUUAUAGUAAUGAAAAAGUAUUAGUUUACAUUCUGAAAUAAAUGUAACUAGCUUAAAAUAAUAUGUAGCAGCAAUCUUAAAAAAUUUUUAUUUACUAAAAAUCUCAUCAUCCAAUAAUUAUUUAAAUACCUUUUCAUACUAUCUGUAUAAGUUAGCUAAUGUUUUAUAACAAAGCCUUGAAGUAGUAAUUUAUUAUUAUGGCCCAUGAAUCUGUGGGACACCUGAGGACUAAGUAUUGACUGACUUAGGUUGAGCUUCACUGACAUUAUAGACUGAAUUAUGGCCUUCAAAAUUCAUAUGUUGAAAUCCAAAUCCCCAGUACCUCAGAAUGUGAUUGUAUUCAGAGAUGGGGUCUUUAAAGAGGUAAUUAAGGUAAAGUGAGGUCAUAAGGGUGGGUUCUAAUCCAAUAAGAUUGGUAUCCUUAUAAAAAGAGGAGAUUUGGACACAAACCUGAGCAUAGAGAAAACACCAUGUGAACAUAAAGACAGCCAUCUACAAGGCACAGAGAGAGGCCUCAGAAGAAAUCAGACCUGCUGACACCUUGAUCUUAGAUCUCCAGCCUGCAGAACUGUUAGGAAAUAAAUGUCUGUUGUUUUAAUUUACAUAGUCUCUGAUACUUUGUUAUGGCAGCCCUAGCAAACUCACAAGCUGCUAUCAACUGGGGUCACAUUAUAGGUUGACUAGGAGACCUGCUCUAAGCUAGAUCUGUGUAGGGUACUUUAGCUGGGGGAACUCAUCUCCAAAUGUCUAAAUUUCUUCUUCAAGCACCUGUGAACUUCAAGCUCUGGCAUAUCCUUCUCAUGGAUGGCAAGAACACAAGAGAGAAAGUGGAAACAUGCAAAAUUUCUUGAGACCUAAUCUUGGAGCUAGCACACUGUCACUUCUGUCUCAUUCUGUUGGUUUAAGCAAUUCACAUGACUAAGCCUAAGAUAGAGAAUUAUGCUGUGUCUACUAUGGGAAAGCAUUGCAAAGUGGCAUGGUAAAGAGUGUAGAUGCCGGGGAGGGAGAGUAGGGCAGAGCAAUCAGGGCCAAUGAUAUAAUCUACCAUGAUACCUUAGUGUUCACAUAUCUGUUUAUAUUGCAGCAUUCUUAGUCCACAUACUGUAACUAUAUAUUUCCAAUUUCACUCAAUAUUUAAUCUUAUAUCACAUUUUUAACAUAAUUCAUUUUUUAUUUUAUCGAAUGCAUAAUAUAUAUAUUAAUUGAGACUUCAGAGGUACAUGGUCAAUUGCACAGUAGGAUAGUGAGGAACUAGAAUAAGGAAAAUCACAUUGAAAAUUUGUUCCAAAAAAUUAGUCAGUAAAAUUAGCACAUAAAUAAACCAAUAUAAAAGUUUAAUUCAAAUGGAAAAUUUCAUAACAGCACAGUAUAGUGUUUUGCACAUAGCAAGCACUCAAUCAUGUUUGUUGACUAGACUCUAUGUGAAUUUGUUUUGAAUGUGGGAACUGUUGCUAAAACAACACAUUCAAAAUGUGGAAAACCUCAUUUUUUGAAAUAAAGAACAACAGCAACAAUAAAAAAUACAUACAAAAUACUGAUGACAGUAUAAACUGUAAAAUGUCACAAUUUAGUAUCCAUCCUCAGCUUUCUGCUUAGAAACAUGUGGAAGCAUUUUACAGGCCUGUUAAAACUUUUUGAUCUACUUGGAUGAAAGAUUAGCUAAAAUUUAGCCAUUCUGUUACCACUUUAAAACUAUGAUUUUAUUUUUGCACUCCAAACACUUUUAAGUUACUGAAAAAUGAAUAAUCAAAGAAUUUUGUUUUCUGAAGAGAGAUAGCCUCAUUUUUCUAAGAGGAUCAAAGGAUGAGAAAGCUUUGUUGAAGGUUUCCUUCUAAGAGAAAGUAAAUCUUGGCUCCAAAUUCAUUUUCCAAAUCAGGAAGUAGAAAAUUUUUUCAGGAAAGGAUUGAACUAGGGAAGCAGAAAAAAAAAAUUUUCCACUGGUUAAUUAUUUUGAUAAUUUGGUUCUAAAAACAUUACCAGUAUAUAUAUUGCUAAAAAAAUAUUUUAGUGUCUUAUAUGGUAAGUAAUUCCAUCAUUUAAAAAGCAUGUGGAAAUUGCAAAGCUAAAUAGCAGACAUAUAUUUAUUAUAUUUGGUUCAUGCACAUACUCUAGGGAUAGCUAAAUGUGUGUAUAGUACUCUUUUGUAUCCUCUAUGAAACCUCUCCAAAGCUAUUAUGAAUUAUAUUGUUUAAAUAUGUCCUCACUCAGCUUCAUGAGAGUUAUUCCCAACUCAGUUUCAAACUGAACACAUGUUGCAUCUGUUUUCUGUUUGUGAAUAUUGAAUGUUUGGCACUUUCAUUGGGAUAUUUUUCUUUGGAAUGAAAUAAUUUCAAAUAUUCACUUAAUCAAAACAUCAGUUUCCUUUUCCAGUUUCCAUUGUGGAUUGUUGGUAGGUUUCCCAGACCAGCUCUCUUGUGCUGUGCAGAGGGACCCUCCUCCUCUUGGUGCAUAGGAAGGAACAGAGGGGAAAGGAAACAACAUCUGGACCAUGGGCUUGUCCCUUCUCCACAUCUUGUUCCUCUCUAGAUUUCACCUGACUUGAGGUCUCAUUCAAGUACUCUUGAAGAUUUUAACUGUUUUGUCCUCUUCUGAUUAUUUAUAACUUCCUUUUUUUCUUUUUGAAAAUGUUACUGGGAGCAGAAUAAUUGAAGUUCUGUGAAGCCACUGGAAACUCACUGCUCCCUCUCCUGCCAGUUUCAAUAAAAAGCUUUUUUUUUUUUUUUGAGGACCUAUAUCUUUGGGAUAUACAUGUUUAAGCAAAAUUAACCUGGCAGGGGAGAUACAUUGAGAAGGGUUGAUUGAAGCAGUAAGAGAUUGGAAGGGGGAAAGACAAACUCAGAGGCUCUGGCCACCAUGCAUGGAGGAAAUGAGGAAGAUUACUGCUGUAAAAUUCAGUGAAAAAAAUCCAUGUGCUACUAGGAAAAGCAUGGACUUCAAAAUCAGAAAAAUUGGAGUUGAAUCCCAGCCCAACAACUCAUAAACUCUGUGACUUCAAGCAAGCUUUUCUUGAGUGAAAUUCAGUUUGACCAGCUAAUACGUGCAGUUCCUAGACUCCCUUGGAAUCUCUCCAAGAGACAGAUGGAGUUUCACUCUUGUUGCCCAGGCUAGAGUGCAACGGCAUGAUCUCAACUCUCUGCAAACUCUGCCUCUUGGGUUCAAAUGAUUCUCCUGCCUCAGCCUCCCUAGUAGCUGGGAUGCUUGACUGGCCUAGCCUCCCAGCCUACAUCAUUCUCCUGUGCGGGAUGCUUCCUGCUUCAAGCAUCGGACUCCAAGUUCUUCAGUUUUGAGACUCAGACUGGCUCUUCUUGCUCCUCAAGUUUGCAGACAGUCUGUUGUGGGACCUUGUGAUC